CUACAAACCCGCGCUAUCGUGGCGCUUUAAAGUGCCAAGGAAAGUCCGGACAGCACAGGGCAACCCACCGGUGAACAGCCGGCUGUCUUGCUCAAGGCGAGAUAAGAGAUAGUGCCACAGAAAAUAACUGUGGUCCCUCCUUAAGCGGGACCAUGAGGGUGAAAAUGUGAGGUAAGAGCUCACAGCUUUGUACAGUAAUGUGCAAAGCGGGCAAACCUUGGGUGCUGUAAUGCCAUGUAAAGGCUCGCCAGCAGGGCGGCCCGCCCGAUGAGCCAGGGUAGGCAGCUACAUCGCGGCAGUAAUGCCGGGAGCAGAUAAAUGAUAGUGUAAAAACAGAAUCCGGCUUACGAGGUUUGUAGCUUU
RNAcentral lists this RNase P RNA (363 nucleotides) under Ilyomonas limi. RNAcentral's name for it is "Bacterial RNase P class A". It matches the Rfam family "Bacterial RNase P class A". Rfam says of the family: Ribonuclease P (RNase P) is a ubiquitous endoribonuclease, found in archaea, bacteria and eukarya as well as chloroplasts and mitochondria. Its best characterised activity is the generation of mature 5'-ends of tRNAs by cleaving the 5'-leader elements of precursor-tRNAs. The record is from Rfam by way of RNAcentral. Lineage: Bacteria; Pseudomonadati; Bacteroidota; Chitinophagia; Chitinophagales; Chitinophagaceae.